RNAcentral lists this ribosomal RNA (760 nucleotides) under Balistoides conspicillum (clown triggerfish). Its description in RNAcentral is "partial 12S ribosomal RNA". It matches the Rfam family "Bacterial small subunit ribosomal RNA", at positions 7 to 1272 of the family's 1533-position model. The record is from RNAcentral. Lineage: Eukaryota; Metazoa; Chordata; Actinopteri; Tetraodontiformes; Balistidae.
CAAAGGCUUGGUCCUGACUUUUCUGUCAACUCUAAUCUAACUUACACAUGCAAGUUCCGCACCCCUGUGAGAAUGCCCUACAGUUCCCUGCUUCGGGAACAAGGAGCUGGUAUCAGGCACAAUUCAAAAUUAGCCCAAGACACCUUGCUUAGCCACACCCUCAAGGGAAAUCAGCAGUGACAAACAUUUAGCCAUAAGUGAAAACUUGACUUAGUUAAGGUUAAGAGGGCCGGUAAAACUCGUGCCAGCCACCGCGGUUAUACGAGAGGCCCAAGCUGACAGACAUCGGCGUAAAGAGUGGUUAGGAAAAUACAACAAAUUAGAGCCGAACGCCCUCAAGGCUGUUAUACGCUCCCGAGAGUAAGAAGUACAACAACGAAAGUAGCCCUAUAAUUUCUGAACCCACGAAAGCUAAGGCACAAACUGGGAUUAGAUACCCCACUAUGCCUAGCCCUAAACAUUGAUGGCCUAAUACCUAAGCCAUCCGCCAGGGAACUACGAGCAUUAGCUUAAAACCCAAAGGACUUGGCGGUGCUUUAGAUCCACCUAGAGGAGCCUGUUCUAGAACCGAUAACCCCCGUUCAACCUCACCUUUCCUUGUUCAACCCGCCUAUAUACCACCGUCGUCAGCUCAUCCUGUGAAGGCCCCUUAAUUAGCAAAAUUGGCAAAGCCCAAAACGUCAGGUCGAGGUGUAGCGUACGGAAAGGGAAGAAAUGGGCUACAUUCCCUGCCUUAGGGAAUUCGAAUGAUAUACUGAAA